GAGAAUGGCCAGACUACCCUGGAUGUAUCUGAUCUCAGAAGCAAAGCAGAACUGGGUCUAGUUAGUUCUUGAAUGGGAGACUUCCUGGGAGGGAGUAUUUACUCA
RNAcentral lists this ribosomal RNA (105 nucleotides) under Phascolarctos cinereus (koala). The record is from RNAcentral. Lineage: Eukaryota; Metazoa; Chordata; Mammalia; Diprotodontia; Phascolarctidae.